GUUCAAUUUCAGGUAUUUAUUUUUUUCGUUACCGUAUGGAACAAUUAUAGAUAUUUUUAAAUUAAUGUUGGAAAUUGGUUUCAAAAUGUAAUUAACUCAUUGUCAUCCGUAUUUAUGGUUAUAGAUCAGAGAGUAGAAGAUGAACAAGAGAUACAUGUCCCUAUGAGUAUGUUCUGAGUGUGGGCAACAAGAAGAAAUUCUGAGAAAUAAGGAUAAUGAAAACGAUAGAAAGGUAUUAGUAAUUCAAAUUCGUAACAAACGCUCGAUAAACUUUAUUUUUCCGUAUAUCACAUGGCACGAUCGGGAGCUUCCGAUCAAACGCAUAUAUAGCGAUCUGCAACGGUCGUAAUUUCCAUGUGCAUGCGUGUCAGA
This is a long non-coding RNA of Bombus terrestris (buff-tailed bumblebee), 372 nucleotides long. RefSeq lists it as uncharacterized. Lineage: Eukaryota; Metazoa; Arthropoda; Insecta; Hymenoptera; Apidae. The record is from RefSeq and is a predicted model, not a curated record. The transcript has 2 exons.